UCAAAAUGCCUGCAUUGCAUGCUAAUUAGCUGUUGUGCGUAAUUGGCUCAGAAUUAAAUGUGGCGGAGCAGUGUUACGCUGCCUUGCAGGAAGUACUGCCUUCCAGUCCUCGCUGGGGGAACAAAAGUCCCUAGUGCCGAUGCGUCGCUGUUCUGUCCGUAUUUUAUGUUAAAUAGCACCCCCUGCUGAGGACUUUUAGUUUGGCAGCCUUUGUCUUCCCCUUGCUAGGGCAAACCAGGAAAUAGCUUAGUCUGAUACUCCAACUGCCACGCUUUGCUGUGUAAAGUUAUCUGGUGCAAUUCUGUUUGUUUACUCUAUCGAAAGCAUCGUCUAAUCGUAGUUGAUAUGAGCUGAUUAGAAGAAGUUUGGUGCCUGACUUCUCUUUGAUGCCCAUCAGCCAUUUGACAAUACCAUCUGAGCCAUUGGCCCCACAGCCUGCUGUAGUAGAGUGUAAUGCUGUCUUAACCUGUCUUAUUAGCCAUUCAGCCUUCAGAACUGCAUCCUUCAGGGCUACAGCCCCCAGCACUGCAGUCUCCUGCACUUACACUAACAACCAGACAGCCUCCUGCCCCUGCCUCUUCUGCCUUACAACAACCAGCAAAAGAGCUUUGUGCACUGCACCCUCCUGUCAUUGCACUGUCCGCCCUACAGCCUAUAGCACUGCACCCUCUAACUCUUCAGCCCCCUACACUGCACACUUUUGCAGUACAGCCUCCUGUACUGUCUCCUAGUCUUCAGCUCUACAAACCUCCUGCAUUGCACCCUGCUUAACCAUCAGACCUGCAGCUUUAGACACCUCUACAGUCAGCCCCACUGCCUCAGACACCAGCACCAUCAACUGUACAGUGUCAGAUUCCUACACUUUUAGCUCUACAGCAUCAUGUACUUGCACCAUCAGCCCUACAGCCUGAAGUACUUCAACUUCCUGCACCAUCAUCCCCACAGCCUCUAGAGCUUCAGCCUUCUGCACUUCCAGCUCCACAGCCUCUAGAUUUUCAGCCUCCUGCACCAUCAGCUCCACAGCCUCUAGAGCCUCCUGUGCCAUCAACUCCACAGCCUCUAGAGCUUCAGCCUCCUGCACCACCAGCCCUACAGUCUACUGCGCUGGAGAGUCCAGCACCUGCACUAUGGCUUCCAGCACCUGCACUAUGGCUUCCAGCACCUAGUACCACCAUCCCCAGAUCCUCUGACUGUCUUUGCAAAUACCAUGGAACCUGUCCUGAUUCCAGUAGAAAAUAAAGACAACAAAAGAUGCAAAGAGAACAAAAGAAAGAAGACAGGGCAAUAUGGAGGUAUUGGUUCGCUGGAAACCGUGCUCUGGAUGUUGUAUUAGAUGGAGCAACAGCUGGAAAGCCUACAAAGAAUUCUGUAGCGUCACUGACUGCUCUGUGUCCAAUGGGAAAACACUGCAGCAGGUGGGAAAACUGCCCACUCCAUCACUAGGUCAAGUUUUCCUUCCUUCAAGACCAUCUACAAUGAACAGUGUAUAUAAAGAAUGCUUGCUUUAUGGAGAAAGAUCCCUUUUACACCCUGCAUGGAGUGUUCUUAUCCCUGCUAUCUGGAAGCAAACUAUGGAGUCUUCCCGACAGGUCAACAUUUACUUCCUGUUAAACAGCUGCACAGUUCUACCUGGUGAAUCGUGUCUACAACUAGUCACUUUACAAGAGAGACAGUUUUUUUUUUUUUUUCUUGCAUGGACAAGACACUGUGUAUGCAUACACACUGUUUGAGCUCUGACAGUGUUCACUGCUGCUAGGACUAAGUUUACAGCUUAUACUUUUGAAUAACAACUACAGUGGUCAUCAUUUCUGCAAAAUUCAAGGACUGCACAUAUGACUUCAGUCUUGUUAUCUAUGAUUGUUCUUAUUGUCUGAUGUCCUGUCCUUAAUGUUUGCAUAGUUUAUUGUAUGGUGUGGAUUAUAGUAUAUUGUGGUUUAUAGUUUGAGUGUAUGUAUAAUAUUUAUUGCGUUCUGUACUAUUAGCCACCUCUGCUGUUCUUCUGUGCAUCCAGAGGAACUGCAUUUCACUCCUGCAAAGAUAUGACACAGUUUGACCUGAACUGACUUGACUUGAUUUGGAGCGUGUGUGUGUGUGUAUUUUGGUCUCUGCCUCGUAGAUCUUUAAUAUGUGUAUAUAUAUUAUUGUCAAAGAUUAAUAAUAAAUCUCUGAACAGUGACUUUUUUAUGUUCGCAGGUCUUUAUUUUGGUUAGUAUGCUGAACAUAUUAAUUCUAAAUAAAGUUUAAAGGGAGGUUUUAUCGAUUCUUUUUUUUCUUUUGAGAGAGGUCACAAGCAAUUAUGCUGUAGGGAACGUAUAAUAUUUGCAUAAUCCACUUUUGACUCUUGUACUGUUUGUUUUGUUCCUUGCCACCCAUAUAUUUUCAUAUGUCUGUUACCAUCAUACAGACAGGUAUUUUAACAGUGACACUUUUUUUUUUUUUAACCUUUGCCUGUAUCCCCCACCACAAUGGAUUUGAAAUUAUUCAGUUCUUUUUCUUGGUUUUCUUCCAAGAUGGCACAGAGUAUGACUGCCGUGUUGCGAGCUCCCUUCACUCCUGUUUGUUUUUUGUUAAUUUUGUUUUUGUUUGUAACUACUUUUGCAAUAAAUGUUGCCAGCGGAGUUUGAGUUCCUGAACGCAGAUCCAUUGUUUGGGAACCUCAAAGAGGCCCCAUUCAUCUGGGCCGACCAGCUGACUAAACAACCCUACAUCUCAUCCAAUAAGUUUUAUUUCAUAACUUAUUACUGUACAACUGUACAUUGGAAGUAAUUGUGCAAUAAUUGUGUAUAUGUGUAUAUAUUUAGAGU
Molecule: long non-coding RNA, 2804 nt
Organism: Colossoma macropomum (tambaqui)
Lineage: Eukaryota; Metazoa; Chordata; Actinopteri; Characiformes; Serrasalmidae
Exons: 5
Source: RefSeq, a predicted model, not a curated record